RNAcentral lists this unclassified non-coding RNA (329 nucleotides) under soil metagenome. Its description in RNAcentral is "partial contains 5.8S ribosomal RNA, internal transcribed spacer 2, and large subunit ribosomal RNA". The stretch from base 1 to 120 matches the Rfam family "5.8S ribosomal RNA", at positions 35 to 154 of the family's 154-position model. The record is from RNAcentral.
GAUUAAGAACGUAGCGAAAUGCGAUAAUUAAUGUGAAUUGCAGAAUUUAGUGAAUCAUCGAAUCUUUGAACGCACAUUGCGCCCCUUGGUAUUCCGGGGGGCAUGCCUGUUCGAGCGUCAUUUCAACCCUCAAGCUCUGCUUGGUCUUGGGCCGCGCCGGCGACGGCGGGCCUCAAAAACAGUGGCGGCGCCAUCUGGUUCCUCAGCGUAGUAAUUCUUCUCGCUGUUGGGCCCGGGUGGCCGCUGGCCAGCAACCCCAAAUUUUCUAUGGUUGACCUCGGAUCAGGUAGGGAUACCCGCUGAACUUAAGCAUAUCAAUAAGCGGAGGA